Molecule: non-coding RNA, 72 nt
Organism: Phrynosoma platyrhinos (Desert horned lizard)
Lineage: Eukaryota; Metazoa; Chordata; Lepidosauria; Squamata; Phrynosomatidae
Source: the annotation of a GenBank genome assembly
ACCAGUGUGGCAUAGUGGUUUGAACGCUGGACUAUGAAUCUGGAGACUUGGGUUCAAAUCCUGGCUUGGCCA